GGAGCUGCCAACGCCAUCAGUGCUGAGCAGCGGAGAGCGGGCGCUUCAUUGUCUGGUGUUAAAACAUGUCCUGUGUCACUCGUGCAUUUACAGACAGAGGACGGAGGUGUCAACAGAACUGCUUCCUCGCGUAUUUACAGAAAUCUCUCUUCAUCAGAGGUGCCCGCCCCAGCUCUGCGCUCUGUGGGAGAUGACUCCACACCUCGUCCCCUUCCGAAAGUCACAAAACUUGAAUGACUGCUCUUCUCCGUCUAGCAAACUGCUCCUCACCCUUCAGGACCAGGCUCAGAUGCCCUCUCCUCUGCUGGGCUUCCUGAUGCCAGAUAGAGCUUCCGUCUGCUCCACCAUCCCUCCUUCUAUCCACCCGUCCACUCAUUGAGCCAUCCGUCCAUCCGUCCAUCCGUCCAUCCGUCCAACCAUCCGCCAUCCCCACUCACUCAUCAGUCUGUCCAUCCCCCACUCACUCAUCCAUCCAUGCACCUGGCCACCCAGUCACCCAACAGAUGUCUGUUCAGCCCAUACCAUAUGCCACUUGUUCUGGCCACUUGUGAUUCAAUUCUGGGGGGAUGGUAGCUCAUCCUAUAAUAAAGACCUCGCCGAGA
Myotis myotis is the source of this 602-nucleotide long non-coding RNA. RefSeq lists it as uncharacterized. The transcript is spliced from 2 exons. The record is from RefSeq and is a predicted model, not a curated record. Lineage: Eukaryota; Metazoa; Chordata; Mammalia; Chiroptera; Vespertilionidae.